GACGAACGCUGGCGGCGUGCUUAACACAUGCAAGUCGAACGGAAAGGCCCUGCUUUUGUGGGGUGCUCGAGUGGCGAACGGGUGAGUAACACGUGAGUAACCUGCCCUUGACUUUGGGAUAACUUCAGGAAACUGGGGCUAAUACCGGAUAGGAGCUCCUGCUGCAUGGUGGGGGUUGGAAAGUUUCGGCGGUUGGGGAUGGACUCGCGGCUUAUCAGCUUGUUGGUGGGGUAGUGGCUUACCAAGGCUUUGACGGGUAGCCGGCCUGAGAGGGUGACCGGCCACAUUGGGACUGAGAUACGGCCCAGACUCCUACGGGAGGCAGCAGUGGGGAAUAUGGCACAAUGGGCGGAAGCCUGAGGCAGCAACGCCGCGUGCGGGAUGACGGCCUUCGGGUUGUAAACCGCUUUCGCCUGUGACGAAGAGUGAGUGACGGUAAUGGGUAAAGAAGCACCGGCUAACUACGUG
This 468-nucleotide ribosomal RNA is filed under the name uncultured bacterium. Its description in RNAcentral is "partial 16S ribosomal RNA". It matches the Rfam family "Bacterial small subunit ribosomal RNA", at positions 28 to 507 of the family's 1533-position model. The record is from RNAcentral.